Molecule: ribosomal RNA, 429 nt
Filed under: uncultured archaeon
Lineage: Archaea
Description: bacterial SSU rRNA
Rfam family: Archaeal small subunit ribosomal RNA
Source: RNAcentral
UACCAGCUCUCCGAGUGGUAGGGAUGAUUAUUGGGCUUAAAGCGUCCGUAGCCGGCUUAGCAAGUUUCCUGUUAAAUUCAGCGACCUAAUCGUUGAGCCGCGGGAAAUACUACUAGGCUAGGAGGCGGGAGAGGUCGACGGUACUUCUGGGGUAGGGGUGAAAUCCUAUAAUCCCGGGAGGACCACCAGUGGCGAAGGCUGUCGACUAGAACGCGCUCGACGGUGAGGGACGAAAGCUGGGGGAGCGAACCGGAUUAGAUACCCGGGUAGUCCCAGCUGUAAACGAUGCGGGCUAGGUGUUGGGGUGGCUACGUGCCACUUCAGUGCCGCAGGGAAGCCAUUAAGCCCGCCGCCUGGGGAGCACGGCCGCAAGGCUGAAACUUAAAGGAAUUAGCGGGGGAGCACAGCAACGGGAGGAGCGUGCGGUUU